Molecule: unclassified non-coding RNA, 6995 nt
Filed under: Actinia tenebrosa (Australian red waratah sea anemone)
Lineage: Eukaryota; Metazoa; Cnidaria; Anthozoa; Actiniaria; Actiniidae
Description: voltage-dependent L-type calcium channel subunit alpha-1D-like, transcript variant X2
Source: RNAcentral
CGUAUGUAAGUACCACGGGUCUGAUCGGACAGAGGAAUUUCUAUAAACAAUGAAUUUAUGAUGUGAUUUCGGGAAGUUAUUGACAUGGCGGUAGCGUAAUGUCUGUAGAAACCAAAUGUACAUACUCUAAGGAACAAGCCAAAUUGAUCUGUCUAACAUGGACCAAAACGGCUAUACGAGAGAAAAGUCCUUGGCUACUAUGAAGUCAACUUGGCCAUCGUCUACAGACGCAGUGCUUAUCUCACGAGCUAAGUUGAACGGCCAACCAAAAUAUGGCAAGCCAACUCAGCAGCCGAAAAGACCGAAGAAGCCACCGAUUGCUGUUCGCCCAAAACGAGCUCUGCUUUGUUUAACUCUAGGAAAUCCUAUACGAAGUGCUGCCAUCAGUCUUGUAGAAUGGAAGCCGUUCGAUGUUAUGAUAUUAAUAACUAUUUUUGCAAAUUGUGCGGCACUAGCCGCUUACCAACCGCUUCCUGAACAAGACAGUAGUUCAGUCAACGAGGAUUUGGAAGUAGCUGAAUAUGUAUUUUUAGGAAUUUUUACAUUUGAAGCCAUACUUAAGAUCAUAGCAUAUGGAUUUGCUGCGCAUCCUGGAGCAUAUCUUAGGAAUGGAUGGAAUAUUUUAGAUUUUGUAAUUGUUGUUGUAGGACUUGCAACUAUUCUAGUGAAGACACUAAACGUCCAAAGUUUUGAUGUCAAAGCCCUGAGAGCAUUUAGGGUUCUCAGGCCUUUACGCCUUGUAUCUGGUGUACCUAGUUUACAAAUUGUGCUUAACUCUAUAAUCAAAGCUCUUAUACCACUUUUUCACAUUGCCUUGUUGGUAGUGUUUGUAGUUAUUAUCUAUGCUAUUAUUGGUGUUGAGCUAUUUAUGGGCAAGCUUCAUAAAACCUGUUAUGAUAAUGUCACAGGUCAAUUAACAAAUGAUGAACCACAUCCUUGCAGUACAGACACAGAAGGGUAUUCUUGUUCACAGUCAGGUGAAGGCCAAGUGUGCCUUGCUAAAUGGGAAGGGCCUAACUAUGGUAUUACCAAUUUUGAUAACAUUGGACUGGCUUGUCUUACAGUCUUUCAAUGUAUAACACUUGAAGGAUGGACAGACGUUUUAUAUAGUAUUAACGAUGCUGUGGGUAAUUCCUGGCCAUGGCUGUACUUUGUAACUCUCAUUAUUUGGGGAUCUUUUUUCGUCCUCAAUCUUGUUCUGGGUGUUCUUAGCGGGGAAUUUGCAAAAGAGAAAGCAAGAGCACAGAAAAGUGGCGAAUUUCAAAAACUACGAGAAAAACAACAAAUUGACGAAGCGUAUCACGGGUAUUUAGACUGGAUUGCUCGAGCAGAGGAUAUUGAAGGCGAAAGCAGCGGCGAUGAAGAUGAGGAGGGCAAACCAAGUAGAAAAGUCUCUACAAAACGUCGCAUGGAAGAUGGUGAAUUGACGCCAAACGAAGAGAAUGUGGAGAGCACCACCACGUUAGACCAAGGAGGCUUUUGGCAACACAAUAAGAAAGUCAUCAAGAAAUUUCACCAUCGAUUAAGAAGAAAAUGUCGAAUAGCUGUCAAAACCCAGACAUUUUACUGGACGGUUAUAGUAGUUGUCUUUUUGAACUCCCUGACGCUUGCAUUGGAGCACUACAAUCAACCGGAAUUUCUUACUCAAUUUUUAGAUAAGGCAAAUAAAUUAUUUUUAGCGCUAUUUACAUUAGAGAUGGUGAUUAAGAUGUAUUGUCUGGGAUUCCAUGGUUAUUUUGCUUCGUUGUUCAAUAGAUUUGACUGCCUGGUUGUGAUCAGCAGUCUCUUGGAGUUAGCUUUAACAGAAACACUGGAAAAGCGUCCUAUUGGUAUCAGUGUUCUGCGUUGUGUGCGUCUUCUUAGAAUAUUUAAAGUAACAAGAUAUUGGAGUUCUCUUAGUAAUUUGGUAGCAUCUCUUCUGAACAGCAUGAAAUCUAUAGCCGGAUUAUUGUUGCUUCUCUCGCUAUUCAUGCUCAUCUGUGCUCUGCUGGGUAUGCAGAUCUUUGGUGGAAAGUUCAAUCUAGAUGACGUAGAGGUACCUAGAAGUAAUUUUGACUCUUUCUGGCGUGCGUUGGUCACUGUGUUCCAGAUCCUGACAGGAGAAGACUGGAAUUCUGUAAUGUACAUUGGUAUACAAGCUUGGGGCGGAAUCACCGAUCAUUCAUCUGUCAUACCUAUUUUAUAUUUUAUAUUUCUUGUUAUCGUUGGAAACUAUAUUUUACUCAAUGUUUUCUUGGCCAUCGCCGUCGACAACUUAGCAGAUGCAGAAAGUCUAACAGAAAUGGAGAAUGAAAAGAUGAAGAAGAAAGAAGAAGCAAAAGCGAAAGAGUGGGAAAGUUUACGAGACGAAGAGUCGAGAAGUGGAGAAACUGGUUCACCGGUUCGAGGGUCAGUAGUAAGAACCUCUCAAGAACUUCAUUCCAAUGGGAACAGUAUACCCAAGGCGAUAUCUGAAGGUGAUAUUGAAGCUCAGUCAAAUUCAAAGGGUUCAAAAGCAACCUUAGAUCGAUCGACCCUUUCAGUAAGAAGUGCAACGUCAACAGAAGAAAACCUGGACCGUGAGCCCAUGCCACCAGAUAGUUCCAUGUUCGUUUUUUCGGAUACCAACAGGUUCCGUAUAAUGUGCCAUAGAAUCGCCACCAAUAUGUACUUCGUUAAUUUUAUCCUGAUACUCAUCAUCAUUAGUAGUGCCUUGUUGGCUGCUGAAGACCCUCUUAAUGCCAACUCCGAGAGAAACCAAGUGCUGAAUUACUUUGACUAUUUUUUCACGGCUGCCUUCACCAUUGAGAUCUCAGUUAAGAUGGUCGCCUAUGGUGUGUUUCUUCAUAAAGGCUCGUUCUGUCGUAGUGCCUUCAACCUACUUGAUUUCCUGGUCGUUGCAGUAUCUAUUCUGUCUAUUGCUCUAAGAGGGUCUAAGUCAUCGCAGAUCUCGACAGUGCGAAUUCUCAGGGUCCUGAGGGUCCUUCGUCCAUUGAGGGCCAUCAACAGAGCCAAGGGACUCAAGCACGUGGUUCAGUGCGUAUUCGUUGCUGUAAAGACUAUUGGUAACAUCAUGUUGGUCACAGUCCUGUUCAACUUCUUGUUCGCUGUCAUUGGGGUACAACUGUUCAAGGGAACGUUUUUCUACUGUACUGAUGGUGAGAAGAUUACAAAAGAAGCCUGCAGGGGAGAGUACAUAGAAUUCAAGGGUCCUGGACUCACAAAUCCUGUGACAAAACAGAGAGAAUGGAAGUUUCGCGAAUUCAAUUUUGACAACGUUGGCAACGCCAUGAUGACCCUCUUCACAGUCAUGACUUUUGAAGGAUGGCCAGGUAUCUUAGAGAACUCCAUGGACUCUACAGAUAUCGACCAAGGUCCGUUCUUGAAUAACCGUCCCUGGGUGGCUGUCUACUAUGUCAUCUAUAUCAUCAUCAUCGCCUUUUUCAUGGUCAACAUAUUCGUUGGUUUUGUUAUCGUCACAUUCCAGAACGAGGGUGAAGAGGAAUAUAAGGAUUGUGAACUAGAUAAGAACCAGAGAAAAUGCGUGGAGUUUGCCCUGAAGGCGCGUCCCAUUUGCCGAUACAUCCCCACCCAUCGGCUACAAUUCCAUGUGUGGCGAGUAGUAACAUCACAACCCUUUGAGUACCUGAUAUUUGCAUUUAUUACUGGCAAUACCAUUCUGCUUAUGAUGCAGUAUUUUAACGAGCCGAAGCUGUACACCAGGGUCUUAGAUGGUUUUAAUAUCGGCUUUACGUCUGUUUUCUUACUGGAGUGCAUCCUUAAACUCUUUGCCUUCAAACCAAAGAAUUAUUUCCUGGACAGAUGGAAUCUGUUUGAUUUCGUAGUGGUCGUGGGUAGUGUAGUUGACAUCACCAUGAACGAAGUAUCGCAUCAGCCUGUUGUUCCCACCUUGUCAUCUCCGGACAGGUAUAGUGGAAUGGCCAUAGGAGGGCCAAAGAGGGACGACGACUACAGCAGGAAUUCAAAAAUACAUAAAUUCAGCGAACAGAUGUUUGCCUUUGGGUUUUUCCGUCUGUUUCGAGCUCUUCGUCUGGUCAAGCUGUUAAACCAAGGCUCUGGUAUCAAGACCUUACUAUGGACUUUCAUCAAAUCCUUCCAGGCUUUGCCAUAUGUUGGUCUUCUUAUUAUCAUGACCUUCUUCAUCUAUGCUGUGGUUGGCAUGCAGAUGUUUGGACGAAUAGCGAUAGACGAUGAUACACACAUAAAUAGAAACAACAACUUCCAGACUUUCCCGCAGNCGUUGAUGGUGCUCUUCAGGUCAGCCACAGGAGAAAACUGGCAAUUGAUCAUGUUAGCUUGUUCGAGCUCACCUGAUGUCAAGUGUGAUGUGAAUGCAGAACCUCAAGAAGAGAAUGGUCUUUGUGGGACGUCCUUCUCUUUCUUCUAUUUCGUCUCCUUCUACGUCAUCUGUUCUUUCUUGAUUAUCAAUUUAUUCGUUGCUGUUAUAAUGGAUAAUUUUGACUAUCUGACGCGCGAUUGGUCAAUUCUUGGCCCCCACCAUCUGGAUGAGUUCGUAAGGGUGUGGUCUGAGUACGACCCUGAAGCAAGUGGUUGUGUCAAGCAUUUGGACAUUGUUACUGUAUUAAAGAGAAUUGCCCCUCCUCUUGGAUUCGGGAAGUUCUGUCCUCACAGAGAAGCCUGCAAGCGUCUAGUAAGCAUGAACAUGCCGUUAAACAGGGAUGGAACUGUGAACUUCAACGCUACACUCUUUGGUCUAGUUCGAACAUCACUGAACAUCAAACGACCUGAAGGUAAGGGCUCGAUCGAGAAGGCAAAUGAGGAGAUGCGAGCGAUCAUAAUGAAAGUCUGGUCAAAAACAUCGCCGGAAUUCCUGGACACAAUCGUCCAACCCCCUGGCGGAGACGACGAGGUAACAGUAGGCAAGUUUUACGCCACGUACCUUAUCCAGGAUUACUUCAGGCGGUUCAAGGCACGGCAACGUGCAGAGGACAUGGAGCACAAAGACAGCAAUAGUACCCAGGCUCUACAGGCUGGUCUGAGAACUCUUCAUGGACUGGGCCCUCAGUUACGAAGAGCCAUUUCCGGUCAACUGGACGAUGAUGACGUAGGACUGUUCUUAAAGGAAGAUGUCCAGCAAAAGUCGCAGCACAAACGGUUCUGGGAAAGUCUAAAGAAUGCGGUUACUCCAUCGCCGCGACACAGCCGACCAAACAGUUUCCGCCGUCCAGGUUCGAUCCGUCUGUCAGCAUUAAUCAAGAAAAGUAAUAACAAUACUCCAGAAUCUCAGAGGAAGGCUUCACUGCCUGCUACCUUGACCGUUCUACAGCCGUCCAUGUCUCCUGACAGGCAACUAUUGGUGCCACCAUUCAGUGAUUCGGACAUGACUGCAAAUGAAAGCGAUACUGAACAAGAGAAACAACGCAAUGAGCCUCCCCGUGACUACUAUCGACAACCGUUAAAAGGAGCAAAGAGUUUCCCGUUAUCUGUAACAGCUAAUGGAGAUCUAAGACCUUCAGUGCCAUUAGAAACAAGAGAACGUAGCAAAAGUGAGAUUUUACCAAGAACUCCUUCACAAGGUUCGGAUCAUCUACAGCCUGCAGAACUUGAUAGAAAUAAAUCAAGUAGUUCUCAAGGUCUAGUGGGCCAAGUAUUGAGCAGUGAGGGACUCCCCAUUGACGACGGAGAUACAAUAGUGCGUGUAGUUGAGCAAGAAAUUGCUGAUGCUUUUGACAUUUCGACUGAUCAAUUAAACGAUGCCGCCGAGAGACUACUUUCAGAACUCCAAACCACGUUAGGGGAUGAGGAAGAUGGACAACAUGAAACAGAAACUCCUGUUGUUAAAACUGACGAGGAGUCUGAUAGCGAAAGCCCAUCGAGCUUUUGGAGAGAGGGACUUAAAGGGAUCCCAGAUACUUGUAUUGUGAUAACUGACCUUUAGUCAGAGAACAGAAGAUCUGGUGUUAUUAGUGGUGCGACUGGCUACGGCCAUGGUCUAUAAGUACAGAGCAUCGCUUAUUGGUUGCUGUACUUCAAGAUACUUCACAAUAUUUGUUAUUGGAAGAUCUGGUGUUAUUAGUAGUGCGACUGGCAACGGCCAUGGUCUAUAAGUACAGAGCAUCGCUUAUUGGUUGCUGUACUUCAAGAUACUUCACAAUAUUAGUUAUUGCAAGAUCCGGUGUUAUUAGUAGACUGGCUACGACCAUGGUCUAUAUGUACAGAGCAUCGCUUAUUGGUGCUUUACUUCAAGCAUGUAUUUAUUUAUCUUGGUUGAUUGCGAUGGCAUGGCUUUCUGUGUUGGCCACGAAAGGCAACUUUGUACGUGGUUUUUCUCACGGAGAACCAUUUGUGGUCCAUUUCUUGAGCGGAUUCAUUUUAUAUUCAUCAUGAAAGAUGAUUGGUAGAUCAAACAAGAUUUAAGACUUAGCAAUAACUAUUGCAUAUAUGCACCAUGGCACGAACAGGAACAAAGAACCUACUGUGUUAUAUUGGUAUAGUGCGGUGCGACGAAUCUUGAAUAAUUUAUAAUAAUUGGUGCAUACAACAGGAAUGGAAUCAGCCCAGUAGGGAGAUCAAUUAAUUUAGCUUGGUAUUGCAAGGUGCUAUCGACCGGCUACAGAACGUUUUGUGGCCCGUCAAGUUGGAUGCGCACGCAACAAUGAAAAAAAGGUCAAUUUCUUUUGUGUUUCAUGUUACUCCUCGCAUUGAAGAUAAUUUUGAGAAGGGUGCAUUCGGGCUUGUUAUGCAGCAUGCAACAAAUCCUUUACCAAUCGUUUUUCAAAUAGCUGUAUACGCAGUAGGCGGGAAAUAUGAUGAUCUUGCCCAAUCACGUGACCUGGAUGAGUUAGUAUUUUUUUGUAGCUGGUUAUUUAUUCAUCCUAUGACUGAUGGUUAAUAGAUUUUUUAUUGUAGAGCAUUUCCUACUCGGCUGUAAAUACAAAUUAUUUUGUACCAGUCCUGCCUUAGAGGCUUUGUGGAAGACUGCUUGAAUAUAAAGUGAAAAGGUAUAUGGAAAUAAAGCUAUUUUCUACAAACUU